GAUUUUUUUAAUCUUAAAAAUCAUAUGCCUCAAGGGGCACCUGGGUGGCUCAGUGGGUUAAAGCCUCUGCCUUAGGCUCAGGUCAUAGUCUCAGGACCCUGGGAUCGAGCCCUGCAUUCAGCUCUCUGUGCAGUGGGGAGCCUGCUUUCUCCUCUCUCUCUGCCUGCCUCUCUGCCUACUUGUGAUCUCUGUCAAAUAAAUAAACAAAAUAUUUUUAAAAAAUCAUAUGCUUCAAAUCUUUGGAUUCAUCUAUUAUGAAAUCAAAUAUAUUCGUGUGUUUAGGUCAUCAGUUGUUUUCAGGGAAAUAAUGCCUCUAUUAUGAUUAAAAAAACAAAGCUUGCUGAAUAAUUGGUUUAUAACUAUGGCAACAUGAGUCAGCUGGGUGUUUGGCUAAAGUCCACUCAGUGGGAGGAGAUUAACCUAUAUUUUAAAAAUAUAGUAUUGUAAUUAAUUGAUUUUAAUUAGUUGUAAUUAGUUGAUUUUAAUUAGUUGAUUUGAUUUUUUCUAUUGUCUUUCUGUUGACAGGAGCCAUUAGGUCCCAGUCUGAUGUUUUUAAACCCAUGGCAUGGAAUAGAAAGGUCCUCUUUGGGGAGCCAGCUACCACAGGGCCUCUGCUUUUGGCCUGGCCUGGCCACUGGAACAGGAAAAAAUGCAGCUGUUCUGUUCUUACCAUGUGGAACUCAGAUUGUGAAGACUGUUGCUUUUCUUUUAUUGAUUUCACUUGUGGUCAAAAGUCAAGAAUAUCUCCAAUCGUAAUCUACUUCCCAUCUACAAAUAAAAUAUCUUUUUUUUUUUAAGUUACAUAUACAUCACUGCUUUUCCUUGAGGAAAAAUAAAAAUAAAAGCACAA
This 850-nucleotide long non-coding RNA is filed under the name Mustela putorius furo (domestic ferret). RNAcentral describes it as "lncRNA (ENSMPUG00000029239.1)". Lineage: Eukaryota; Metazoa; Chordata; Mammalia; Carnivora; Mustelidae. The record is from RNAcentral.